Molecule: ribosomal RNA, 465 nt
Filed under: uncultured bacterium
Lineage: Bacteria
Description: partial 16S ribosomal RNA
Rfam family: Bacterial small subunit ribosomal RNA
Source: RNAcentral
GACGAACGCUGGCGGCGUGCUUAACACAUGCCAGUCGAACGGAAAGGCCCUGCUUGCAGGGUACUCGAGUGGCGAACGGGUGAGUAACACGUGGGUGAUCUGCCCUGCACUUCGGGAUAAGCCUGGGAAACUGGGUCUAAUACCGGAUAGGAGCCAUUUUUAGUGUGAUGGUUGGAAAGUUUUUUCGGUGUAGGAUGAGCUCGCGGCCUAUCAGCUUGUUGGUGGGGUAAUGGCCUACCAAGGCGGCGACGGGUAGCCGGCCUGAGAGGGUGGACGGCCACAUUGGGACUGAGAUACGGCCCAGACGCCUACGGGAGGCAGCAGUGGGGAAUAUUGCACAAUGGGCGCAAGCCUGAUGCAGCGACGCCGCGGGGGGGAGGACGGCCUUCGGGUUGGAAACUCCUUUCGCUAGGGACGAAGCUUUUUGUGACGGUACCUAGAGAAGAAGCACCGGCUAACUACGUG